ACCAACAAGUUGUGGUUUUACUGGGAGUUACCUGCUGUAACUAUUUCUUGGAUGGGCGCAGUAAUGGGCAUCAAUAAGGCCUUUUCAACAUGACUUAAUUAACUUUUUGGGCAAAUAGCACAUUUCAGUUUGUUGACAAACACAAUUGAGUUUGACAAGAAGAUACAAUCAAGCCAAGAUCUCUUGUUUCCACAAUGAUAGAAAUCAAGCUAAUGUCUUCAGUUGUCAUUUUCCUCAAGGCCGAUGGGUGAAACUUCUUCAAACAGACAGCAGUUUAAAGCUCCCGCAGCCCCUUUAAAGGCCCCAAUCAACAAGUGUCAGUUUGGGGUCAGCCAGCAAGCCGAGGCUGCCUGCGUCCUCCUGUUGCAGGCGGAAUAUUCUGGAGAGACUGGCCCAGCUGUCCCUCCUCCGCCGUUGAUCCACUCCGAUGCCUCUGGGCCACUAAACUGGCUCCAUUCAUGUGCUAAAGUGACAGCUGCUCCUCACAUUCUGCAGAAAAUUAACCGCAGAUGCAGGAAAUGCAAGCUGGGAGCCAAUAAAAAAUAUUUCACAGA
This is a long non-coding RNA of Siniperca chuatsi (mandarin fish), 554 nucleotides long. RefSeq lists it as uncharacterized. The record is from RefSeq and is a predicted model, not a curated record. The transcript has 2 exons. NCBI's taxonomy places the organism in Eukaryota, Metazoa, Chordata, Actinopteri, Centrarchiformes, Sinipercidae.